This 1067-nucleotide long non-coding RNA is filed under the name Equus asinus (donkey). RNAcentral's name for it is "lncRNA (ENSEASG00005037121.1)". Lineage: Eukaryota; Metazoa; Chordata; Mammalia; Perissodactyla; Equidae. The record is from RNAcentral.
AUGAAGGAUUGAAUCCACACGUGAACUAAAGAAAUAAAACCAUGUUUUUUUUAUAUACUACUUAUAGGAUCAGUCUCAGUUUAUAAAGACAUUUUAUUUUAUUGAGACAAUAUAUUUUUGUGACCAUUUUCUAAAACGUAAGAUUCUCAAUGACCACCUAGUUUGUAUCAAAGUGGCUUUCCCAUAGUCCCCCACAAAUCGAUACGAAUUAGCUACAAAUUUUUAAACUGACCAACUUUCUGUAUGCAAUUGUUUGGCAUAAAUAAAUGGAUAGAAUAUUGGAAAUUGUCUAAGAGAAUAAUUUAAGAAUAACUAAUAUUAAGCCCUUCUCAUUGAUGCUUUGAUGAUAAUUAGGCCACGCAGCCAACUGUCAGUUGAGACUCUCCAAGUUAAAUUAUUAACAGCAACUUUCCUAUUCACAGUAGCCAGGGAAUAUUUGCCGAAUUAUUCUAAAAGUAGAGUCAUAUCACUCACAUCCUUUUUACAGGAAAAUUAAAACAAUUUUCACAUUGUCCAGGACCAUCCCUGCCAACCCUGGUUCUUACUGGAUUUUUAGAAGUGGAUCGCACAUCCCUAGUAACUGGGAGAUGCUGGCAUGAGCAUCUGCACAGACACAGGCCAAUGGAAAAUCCGAGCUGCCUUAUCCUUGACUCACAGGGCAGCAGAGCAGUGGAACGGCUGUGUCAGAAGCCUACUUUUUCUUCAUGUGAAACGUUGGCGGAAAGAGAUUCCGAUUUAAGGCUUGUUAAAAACAAAGAAGGCAACAAGAUUUGAAAGAAUAAAACCACUAAGUCUUUGCUUUUGUAGUUUUCCUUGCCCAUUUUCUUGUUGUUCUCCCUAAAAUUCUAAUGACAUGUUUUAUAACAUUUAGUUAUAAUUUAAUUUAAGCUUAUUUAAUUACUCUCUAAAUAUCGUGUAGAAGAGAAUGGGUAUUGUCCGGGACUACGAUUUAGCCGAGAAGUGGCACCUCCAGGACUUGGCGUGUGGUGGCAGCAGCAGUGACCGUGAGAGACGUUGAAGGGACGGUGACACUGAACGAAGAUGUCAGACCAGGUCACUUUUCUGGA